Molecule: ribosomal RNA, 524 nt
Filed under: uncultured bacterium
Lineage: Bacteria
Description: partial 16S ribosomal RNA
Rfam family: Bacterial small subunit ribosomal RNA
Source: RNAcentral
GACGAACGCUGGCGGCGUGCCUAAUACAUGCAAGUCGAACGAAGCUGUUUUAACUGGUGCUUGCACCGACUUAAACAACUGAGUGGCGAACGGGUGAGUAACACGUGGGUAACCUGCCCCAAAGCGGGGGAUAACAUUUGGAAACAGAUGCUAAUACCGCAUAACCACAGAAACCACAUGGUUUCUGUGUCAAAGAUGGUUUCGGCUAUCACUUUGGGAUGGGCCCGCGGCGUAUUACCUAGUUGGUAAGGGAAUGGCUUACCAAGGCAAUGAUACGUAGCCGAACUGAGAGGUUGAUCGGCCACAUUGGGACUGAGACACGGCCCAAACUCCUACGGGAGGCAGCAGUAGGGAAUCUUCCACAAUGGACGAAAGUCUGAUGGAGCAACGCAGCGUGAGUGAAGAAGGUUUUCGGAUCGUAAAACUCUGUUGUCAGAGAAGAACGUGUGCGAGAGUAACUGUUCGUGCAGUGACGGUAUCUGGCCAGAAAGCCACGGCUAACUACGUGCCAGCCGCCGCCGUAA